Molecule: ribosomal RNA, 432 nt
Filed under: uncultured bacterium
Lineage: Bacteria
Description: bacterial SSU rRNA
Rfam family: Bacterial small subunit ribosomal RNA
Source: RNAcentral
AGAACGAACGCUGGCGGCAGGCUUAACACAUGCAAGUCGAACGCCCGCAAGGGGAGUGGCAGACGGGUGAGUAACGCGUGGGAAUCUACCCAGUUCUACGGAACAACUGAGGGAAACUUCAGCUAAUACCGUAUACGCCCUACGGGGGAAAGAUUUAUCGGAAUUGGAUGAGCCCGCGUUGGAUUAGCUAGUUGGUGAGGUAACGGCUCACCAAGGCGACGAUCCAUAGCUGGUCUGAGAGGAUGAUCAGCCACACUGGGACUGAGACACGGCCCAGACUUCUACGGGAGGCAGCAGUGGGGAAUAUUGGACAAUGGGCGCAAGCCUGAUCCAGCCAUGCCGCGUGAGUGAUGAAGGCCUUAGGGCUGUAAAGCUCUUUCAGUGGGGACGAUAAUGACGGUACCCACAGAAGAAGCCCCGGCUAACUUCGUG